ACCGCGAUAGGUCAGGUGGCGGAGCAUCUGCCCGGUAUGCGGAGGCGCCGGUUCGAUUCCAGCUCGCGGAG
RNAcentral lists this transfer RNA (71 nucleotides) under Fasciola gigantica. RNAcentral describes it as "tRNA-Thr". Lineage: Eukaryota; Metazoa; Platyhelminthes; Trematoda; Plagiorchiida; Fasciolidae. The record is from RNAcentral.